AAAUUGAAGAGUUUGAUCAUGGCUCAGAUUGAACGCUGGCGGCAGGCCUAACACAUGCAAGUCGAACGGUAACAGGAAACAGCUUGCUGUUUCGCUGACGAGUGGCGGACGGGUGAGUAAUGUCUGGGAAACUGCCUGAUGGAGGGGGAUAACUACUGGAAACGGUAGCUAAUACCGCAUAAUGUCGCAAGACCAAAGAGGGGGAUCUUCGGGCCUCUUGCCAUCGGAUGUGCCCAGAUGGGAUUAGCUAGUAGGUGGGGUAACGGCUCACCUAGGCGACGAUCCCUAGCUGGUCUGAGAGGAUGACCAGCCACACUGGAACUGAGACACGGUCCAGACUCCUACGGGAGGCAGCAGUGGGGAAUAUUGCACAAUGGGCGCAAGCCUGAUGCAGCCAUGCCGCGUGUAUGAAGAAGGCCUUCGGGUUGUAAAGUACUUUCAGCGGGGAGGAAGGGAGUAAAGUUAAUACCUUU
This 473-nucleotide ribosomal RNA is filed under the name Escherichia coli. RNAcentral's name for it is "bacterial SSU rRNA". It matches the Rfam family "Bacterial small subunit ribosomal RNA", at positions 1 to 470 of the family's 1533-position model. The record is from RNAcentral. Lineage: Bacteria; Pseudomonadati; Pseudomonadota; Gammaproteobacteria; Enterobacterales; Enterobacteriaceae.